UAACCCAUUCUCACGUCGAUUUCUUUCCCUUCCUCUCGAUCCUCUCGAUGCCGCUUCUCUCUUCCUCUUCCCCUCUUCCUCUUCGUCGAGCUCGCGUCGCCGCCACCCAUUCUCGAUCCCUUCAUCUCCCUCAACCCAGCGCCGCUUCAUUUCUUCUUCUCCAUCGCGAAUAAAACCCCUCGGCCAAGGAAAGUCGAGCCCUUUCCCCUAGCGCCGACCCCCCUUCUCUCUGCUCUAGCACCGCCAGUCGAUCGCCGGCCACCGGAGACUUGAGCUCUCCCAUCUUCACCACAGAUCACCUUCCCUCUGCCCUAGUUGGAUUCGCUGAUCCUUCUCUCCGUGCUGCCGCCGAUCACCAUAGCCGACGCCAACCGCCGCCCUCUUCCUUACACACCUGUGCCAUAAGUCGUCAUGGUUCUUCCAUGCCAGCAAACCAUCUCCAAGCUCUGACAUCACCUCAGAUGUCCUCUAGAGUCACUGUCUUGUGCACUUCCAUCGUCGGGGAGGUGAGUCGUCGCCUCUGUAAACUGUCGCCAAAGAGGAGAAGGGCUUUGAUUCGAGACAAGUGUCUCGACGUGGGAUCUAUUUCAGAUACGAUCUCCAUUUUUGAGGUUGAAGCUGUCAGGAGGUUCUAGUCGUUAGUCCCCCACUAGGUGUCAAGAUGACUUUCUGGUUUUGGACUUUCGUUAUUUCCUUGUUUUGUUAUGUCUACAUACUUAUGAUGUGUAGUUCUUGUACUUAUGAAUUCUAUGGCGUGCUUCGGGUAUGAUGCCCAUGUUU
Molecule: long non-coding RNA, 780 nt
Organism: Zingiber officinale
Lineage: Eukaryota; Viridiplantae; Streptophyta; Magnoliopsida; Zingiberales; Zingiberaceae
Exons: 3
Source: RefSeq, a predicted model, not a curated record